Molecule: ribosomal RNA, 499 nt
Filed under: uncultured Glomeromycotina
Lineage: Eukaryota; Fungi; Glomeromycota
Description: partial small subunit ribosomal RNA
Rfam family: Eukaryotic small subunit ribosomal RNA
Source: RNAcentral
CCAAUAGCGUAUAUUAAAGUUGUUGCAGUUAAAAAGCUCGUAGUUGAAUUUCGGGAUCAAUAUAUCGGUCGUGCCAUCGGUACGUACUGGUAUGAUUGGUUUCUCCUUUCUGACGAACCGUGAUGUCAUUAAUUUGGUGUUAUGGGAAGUUAGGACUGUUACUUUGAAAAAAUUAGAGUGUUUAAAGCAGGCUUUAGCUUGAAUACAUUAGCAUGGAAUAAUGAAAUAGGACGUUCGAACCUAUUUUGUUGGUUUCUAGGAUCAACGUAAUGAUUAAUAGGGAUAGUUGGGGCAUUAGUAUUCAAUUGUCAGAGGUGAAAUUCUUGGAUUUAUUGAAGACUAACUACUGCGAAAGCAUUUGCCAAGGAUGUUUUCAUUAAUCAAGAACGAAAGUUAGGGGAUCGAAGACGAUCAGAUACCGUCGUAGUCUUAACCAUAAACUAUGCCGACUAGGGAUCGGAUGAUGUUAAUUUUUUAAUGACUCAUUCGGCGCCUUACA